This is a long non-coding RNA of Centrocercus urophasianus (Greater sage-grouse), 354 nucleotides long. RefSeq lists it as uncharacterized. Lineage: Eukaryota; Metazoa; Chordata; Aves; Galliformes; Phasianidae. The record is from RefSeq and is a predicted model, not a curated record. The transcript is spliced from 3 exons.
AGACCAGUGAGGAUGCAACAGGAAAAAGGACUUCCUAUGAUUUCCUCAGUGCACUUGUGCUGCAGCUCUGCUCCAGGCUGGGAUGGUCGGGUUCCCUUGCAUCCAUCUGACGUAGUGGCAUCUCAAAGGCUGUGGGCAGUUUGUAGCUUAGGGAAAAGAGAAAACUGCAGUACCAGUUCAUUUGUGGGAAGAUCAGAGGAGCAGCACCAUGGCCAUGUCUACGUGCCUUGGAGGGAUCUGCUGUGCUGUACAACCAGUGCGUUUCCUCUGCUGAUAUACGGAGCUUAUAUGCACGUACAGGUAUGCCUCACUGUCACAAAGAUCGUAAAAGGAAUGGGGCAUCUAAUGCCCCAG